CUUUGUCAGCACCACAUUCAGGAGCUACAGUGAGCAAGGCAGGGUGAACUCUGCUCUCUACCGUCAUGCACGGGGGAUGCAAAGUCCCAGGCCUCUUGAAUCUACAACAACUAUUGUGAGAAUGGUCUGGAUCAGCAGGGCAAUGAAGUUGUUGAAUCCAAACAUCAGGGCAUAGCGUUCCAUGCUCAGAUUGACGGCGAUCUGGAACCUGACGGGAAACUGGCAGACUGUGCCAGACAGGCUGUACAGAGUCCAUGGCUGGAAGCUGGCACUGGAAGCAGUUCUGCCCUGGCUGGGAGGUCACUCUGGGUAUCUUCUAACCAAGCUUUCUGUGGUGAUGAGUCACAUUUUGCUUUGUGAUUUGACACUGGAGAAAGUGCAUAAAAAAUGAAUUGAAAGAUCCUUAACUGGGAGACAAACUUACCCUGUCAUUCCAUCUGCACUGACCAAGAUAAACACAGGAAAAGCCUUUCUAGAUUGAAGUGGCUGAAGACAGCUGAGCACUGAGAUUUCCCUCGACACCGUGACUGAUCACAGCCAAGCACUUUGUUGAAUGAUGAGGAUAACUCUGGAGCCUAGCAGAUGGAGCUGCUAAGUAAUACAGAAAGGAUAUCAAGCCAGACUCUCAUCUGGAAUUAUCUGCAUGAGAAGUCCAUUUUGGCUACAGACAUCAUAUUUUCCAUUUAUAAAAUUGGUCACAGAAGGUUAACAGUUCAUGCUAAAAUGAAA
This is a long non-coding RNA of Vidua chalybeata, 729 nucleotides long. RefSeq lists it as uncharacterized. The transcript has 4 exons. The record is from RefSeq and is a predicted model, not a curated record. Lineage: Eukaryota; Metazoa; Chordata; Aves; Passeriformes; Viduidae.